This 374-nucleotide RNase P RNA is filed under the name Candidatus Nanopelagicales bacterium. RNAcentral describes it as "RNase P RNA component class A". It matches the Rfam family "Bacterial RNase P class A". Rfam says of the family: Ribonuclease P (RNase P) is a ubiquitous endoribonuclease, found in archaea, bacteria and eukarya as well as chloroplasts and mitochondria. Its best characterised activity is the generation of mature 5'-ends of tRNAs by cleaving the 5'-leader elements of precursor-tRNAs. Cellular RNase Ps are ribonucleoproteins. Lineage: Bacteria; Bacillati; Actinomycetota; Actinomycetes; Candidatus Nanopelagicales. The record is from RNAcentral. RNAcentral also lists the same sequence under 1 other name.
CGAGUCGGUCGGGCGACCGCGGUCGUUCCCUCGGGAGCGGUCGAGGAAAGUCCGGACUCCACAGGGCAGGACGGUGGGUAACGCCCACCCGGGGUGACCCGCGGGCAUGUGCAACAGAAAGUAGACCGCCAGCCUCGGCUGGUAAGGGUGAAACGGUGGUGUAAGAGACCACCAGCGCCGGUGGUGACAUCGGCGGCUGGGUAAACCCCGUCCGGAGCAAGGCCAAGAGGGGACUUCGGUCCCUGCGCAGACGAGUUGCCCGCUCGAUGUCUGCGGGUGGGCCGCAUCGAGGUCACCGGUGACGGUGGCCCCAGACAGAUGGUCGUCGCCGGGGAGACCCGGUACAGAAUCCGGCUUACAGACCGACUCGCCAC